This 301-nucleotide ribosomal RNA is filed under the name uncultured bacterium. Its description in RNAcentral is "partial 16S ribosomal RNA". It matches the Rfam family "Bacterial small subunit ribosomal RNA", at positions 509 to 807 of the family's 1533-position model. The record is from RNAcentral.
CAGCCGCCGCGGUAAUACGUAGGGUGCGAGCGUUAAUCGGAAUUACUGGGCGUAAAGCGUGCGCAGGCGGUUUUGUAAGACAGAGGUGAAAUCCCCGGGCUCAACCUGGGAACUGCCUUUGUGACUGCAAGGCUAGAGUACGGCAGAGGGGGAUGGAAUUCCGCGUGUAGCAGUGAAAUGCGUAGAUAUGCGGAGGAACACCGAUGGCGAAGGCAAUCCCCUGGGCCUGUACUGACGCUCAUGCACGAAAGCGUGGGGAGCAAACAGGAUUAGAUACCCCUGUAGUCCCUGUCUCUUAUAC